AAUAGGUUUUGGUGUGGUACCUGAAGGUUGUGGAGGAAGUUUAAGUUAUAUAACGCAGUUAGGCCUGUGGAUGCUUCAUCAGGCCAGGUUCUGGAAUCGCUGAAAUCCAAAGGUUUCUUUUUGUCACGUGCCUCGCUCCUGUUUCCCAGCCGAUCGUGGGGAGUGAAAUAGCAAGACCCUCCUGGAAGUUGUCACAAAAUAAGCCACAUAAAACUAAAUGACUGAGUGGUUAAGAAUCCGCCUGCCAAUGCAGGGGACGCGGGUUCGAGCCCUGGUCUGGGAAGAUCCCACAUGCCGUGGAGCAACUAAGCCCGUGCGCCACAACUACUGAGCCUGCGCUCUAGAGCCCAUGAGCCACAACUACUGAGCCUGUGUGCCACAACUACUGAAGCCCGCGCGCCUAGAGCCCGUGCUCCACAACAAGAGAAGCCACCGCAAUGAGAAGCCCUCGCACCGCAACGAAGAGUAGCCCCUGCUCACCGCCACUAGAGAAAGCCUGCGUGCAGCAACGAAGACCCAUCGCAGCCAAAAAUAAAUAAAAUAAAUAAAAAUUUUAAAAAAAUAUAUAUUUUUUCAGAUUGGGUGUGCACAAUUGAUUACUGCCAUUCUUAUAGUGUUUUUUUGUUAAAGUGUAUCAUAACUUGAAAAAUAAUUACAGUAACAUUUGCUUUGGUA
Balaenoptera ricei (Rice's whale) is the source of this 675-nucleotide long non-coding RNA. RefSeq lists it as uncharacterized. NCBI's taxonomy places the organism in Eukaryota, Metazoa, Chordata, Mammalia, Artiodactyla, Balaenopteridae. The record is from RefSeq and is a predicted model, not a curated record. The transcript has 3 exons.